This 433-nucleotide ribosomal RNA is filed under the name rape rhizosphere bacterium cse096. Its description in RNAcentral is "bacterial SSU rRNA". It matches the Rfam family "Bacterial small subunit ribosomal RNA", at positions 29 to 455 of the family's 1533-position model. The record is from RNAcentral.
AGUGAACGCUGGCGGUAGGCCUAACACAUGCAAGUCGAACGGCAGCACAGUAAGAGCUUGCUCUUAUGGGUGGCGAGUGGCGGACGGGUGAGGAAUACAUCGGAAUCUACUCUUUCGUGGGGGAUAACGUAGGGAAACUUACGCUAAUACCGCAUACGACCUACGGGUGAAAGCAGGGGAUCUUCGGGCCUUGCGCGAUUGAAUGAGCCGAUGUCGGAUUAGCUAGUUGGCGGGGUAAAGGCCCACCAAGGCGACGAUCCNNAGCUGGUCUGAGAGGAUGAUCAGCCACACUGGAANUGAGACACGGUCCAGACUCCUACGGGAGGCAGCAGUGGGGAAUAUUGGACAAUGGGCGCAAGCCUGAUCCAGCCAUACCGCGUGGGUGAAGAAGGCCUUCGGGUUGUAAAGCCCNUNUGUNGGGAAAGAAAACCAG